Molecule: ribosomal RNA, 646 nt
Filed under: Halomonas sp.
Lineage: Bacteria; Pseudomonadati; Pseudomonadota; Gammaproteobacteria; Oceanospirillales; Halomonadaceae
Description: bacterial SSU rRNA
Rfam family: Bacterial small subunit ribosomal RNA
Source: RNAcentral
GUCUACCAUGCAGUCUAGCGGUAACAGAUCUAGCUUGCUAGAUGCUGACGAGCGGCGGACGGGUGAGUAAUGCAUAGGAAUCUACCCGGUAGUGGGGGAUAACCUGGGGAAACCCAGGCUAAUACCGCAUACGUCCUACGGGAGAAAGGGGGCUCCGGCUCCCGCUAUCGGAUGAGCCUAUGUCGGAUUAGCUAGUUGGUGAGGUAAUGGCUCACCAAGGCAACGAUCCGUAGCUGGUCUGAGAGGAUGAUCAGCCACAUCGGGACUGAGACACGGCCCGAACUCCUACGGGAGGCAGCAGUGGGGAAUAUUGGACAAUGGGGGGAACCCUGAUCCAGCCAUGCCGCGUGUGUGAAAAAGGCCUUCGGGUUGUAAAGCACUUUCAGCGAGGAAGAACGCCUAGUGGUUAAUACCCAUUAGGAAAGACAUCACUCGCAGAAGAAGCACCGGCUAACUCCGUGCCAGCAGCCGCGGUAAUACGGAGGGUGCAAGCGUUAAUCGGAAUUACUGGGCGUAAAGCGCGCGUAGGUGGCUUGAUAAGCCGGUUGUGAAAGCCCCGGGCUCAACCUGGGAACGGCAUCCGGAACUGUCAAGCUAGAGUGCAGGAGAGGAAGGUAGAAUUCCCGGUGUAGCGGUGAAAUGCGUA